UCAAGAAACUUCCACAAUGGGCGAAAGCCUGAUGGAGCGACGUCGCGUGAUGGACGAAGUGCUUCGGCACGUAAACAUCUUUUAUGUGGGAUGAAAUUAUUGACAGUACCACAUGAAUAAGGGGCUCCUAACUCUGCGCCAGCAGGAGCGGUAAUACAGAGGCCCCAAGCGUUAUCCGGAAUCACUGGGCGUAAAGGGUGUCGAGGCGGUUGUAUUAGUCGUUCGUAAAAUCUACGAGCUUAACUUGUAGGCGGCGAACGAAACGGUACGACUUGAGGUUUGGAGAGGUGCGUGGAACUCACGGUGUAGGGGUGAAAUCCGUUGAUAUCGUGGGGAACACCAAAGGCGAAGGCAGCGCACUGGCCAAAAUCUGACGCUCACACACGAAAGCUAGGGUAGCGAAGAGGAUUAGAUACCCAAGUAGUCCCUGAGCGGGCUGGCAAGGCGCAU
RNAcentral lists this ribosomal RNA (450 nucleotides) under uncultured bacterium. RNAcentral describes it as "bacterial SSU rRNA". It matches the Rfam family "Bacterial small subunit ribosomal RNA", at positions 355 to 825 of the family's 1533-position model. The record is from RNAcentral.